RNAcentral lists this ribosomal RNA (253 nucleotides) under uncultured bacterium. RNAcentral's name for it is "partial 16S ribosomal RNA". It matches the Rfam family "Bacterial small subunit ribosomal RNA", at positions 524 to 776 of the family's 1533-position model. The record is from RNAcentral.
CACGUAGGGGGCAAGCGUUGUCCGGAUUUAUUGGGCGUAAAGAGCUCGUAGGUGGCUCGAUAAGUCGGGUGUUAAACCCCCAGGCUCAACCUGGGGCGCCACUCGAUACUGUCGUGGCUAGAGUCCGGUAGGGGAGCGUGGAAUUCCUGGUGUAGCGGUGAAAUGCGUAGAUAUCUGGAGGAAUACCGGUGGCGAAGGCGGCAUCCUGGACCGGCAUUGACGCUGAUGAGCGAAAGCUAGGGGAGCAAACGGG